RNAcentral lists this ribosomal RNA (437 nucleotides) under uncultured bacterium. RNAcentral's name for it is "bacterial SSU rRNA". It matches the Rfam family "Bacterial small subunit ribosomal RNA", at positions 29 to 506 of the family's 1533-position model. The record is from RNAcentral.
ACGAACGCUGGCGGCAGGCCUAACACAUGCAAGUCGAACGCAUUGACCUUCGGGUUGGUGAGUGGCGCACGGGUGAGUAACACGUGGGAACGUACCCUUUGGUUCGGAAUAACGUUUGGAAACGAACGCUAAUACCGGAUGAGCCCUUCGGGGGAAAGAUUUAUCGCCAAAGGAGCGGCCCGCGUCUGAUUAGCUAGUUGGUGGGGUAAAGGCCUACCAAGGCGACGAUCAGUAGCUGGUCUGAGAGGAUGAUCAGCCACACUGGGACUGAGACACGGCCCAGACUCCUACGGGAGGCAGCAGUGGGGAAUAUUGGACAAUGGGCGCAAGCCUGAUCCAGCCAUGCCGCGUGAGUGAUGAAGGCCUUCGGGUUGUAAAGCUCUUUCGCACGCGACGAUGAUGACGGUAGCGUGAGAAGAAGCCCCGGCUAACUUCGU